Molecule: long non-coding RNA, 2025 nt
Organism: Equus caballus (horse)
Lineage: Eukaryota; Metazoa; Chordata; Mammalia; Perissodactyla; Equidae
Source: Ensembl
GUAGCAUAUUCUUGGUUGGGAUUUUUUUUCUUUCUUUCAACACUUUGAGUAUGUUAUGCUUCUCCCUUCUGGCCUGCAAAGUUUCUGCUGAAAAAUCUGCUGAUAGUCUUCUGGAGGUUCCCUUGUACAUAACAAGUGGUUUUCUCUUGCUGUUUUUAAGAUUCUUUCCUUGUCUUUAACUUUUGACAGUUUGGUUGUACUAUGUCUUGGUGUAGAUCUCUUUGGAUUCUUCUUAUUUGAAACCUCUGGGCUUUCUGGAUAUGGAUGUUUGUUUCUUUCUCCAGGUUUUAGGGAAAUUUUCUGCCAUUAUUUUUUUGAAUAAACUUUCUGCCCCUUUCUCUCUGUUUUCUCCUUCUGAGACCCCUAUGAUGCAUAUAUUGGGCCACAGUUGUUGCUAUUCCAUAAGUCCGUUAAGCUAUCUUCCCUCUUUUUCGUUCUUUCUUGCUUUUUGCUCCUCCGAUUGGAUGAAUUCCACUGCCCUGUCUUUGAAUUCACUGAUCUUUUCUUUUACUUGAUCUAGUCUGCUGUUGAAUCCCUCUAUUGAAUUUUUCAGUUCAGUCAUUAUCGUCUGCAGCUUUGAGAUUCUUGUUUGGUACUUUAUUAUGUUUUCUAUAUCUUUGUUGAAACUCUCACUUUGUUCCCUCAUUGUUCUCUUGACAUCAGUGAGCAUCUUUAUGACAAUUAUUUUGAACACUUUAUCAGGUAAGUCACUUAUCCCCCAUUUCAUUAAGAUCUGUUUCUGAAGUUUUAUCUUGUUCUUUUGUUUGGAAAUAUUCCCUUUUUUCUUCAUUUUCCUUGACUUUCUGUUUCCAUCUUGCUCAUUUCCCAGACAUGAGGAAUGUUUUCACCAAAUUCAAGCCUGAUGGAAUAAGAUUGUAUGGUAGAAGAAGAUGACAUAGGAACGAAAAAGCAGACUAUGAAGAAGAAAGCAUUGACAUCUCACUACAGUGGUACCAAGGAAAGGCGUUCCUUUCAGUAAAUAACAGACAAGAUUCCUCUUCCAAGACUCUGAUUUGGGAGACCACAGAGAGAAAACCUGGCAGAAGUGCCUCUUGUUGCUGUCUCCUACAAAGCAACAAGUUUGAGAAGUCUAACCCUGUGUUUCUACUUGGGAGCUCAGCACUAACUCUCACAGGCCUGGAGGUAUUUGGAGAGCAAGUCUUGUAGAGAAGACCAAGAAAACAAAAGGGACAGCUCUUCAGAUCCACCUUACUGGGAAUAUCACUCAGACACAACAUUCAGAAAGUCCAGGUUUAACAAAGGUCCAGAGUCUUCUAACUCACUUCUUAUAGAAGUUAUGAACUACACAGCAGCAGCAAUGACAACAAGCACAACAAAGCAGCCUCAGUUCUCUAGUUCUGCAGCAGGAUUCAGGGACCCCCAGGGGCUUAAUAGAGAUGCAAUCUCAGAAUGGAUAAACUUACCUAAACAUUUGAAAAAAUGGAUAACCUAAAAGGAAAUUGGCUAAGAGAUGAAGUGCAACAAGGAAACCAAAAUUGAUAAAGCUGCAAGUGAAGUUCUAAUUGAGCAUAAAUGGAGUCAGGGAAGAAAUGGCCAUCUGUGGGAAUGUUGACACCAUCACUGUUUUCCAGAGACGAUAGACGUGCAUCCAGAGGAACUCAGUGAAGCCAAACUUAGCGACACAAAUGAGGAAUAUGGCGGUGAUGAAAAGGAUGAAGAUAUCCCAGAAGAAGGCACACUGGCAAAAAACCCUCACAUUAAAGAAACUCUGGGAGGAAUUGUGCUGUAUUGAAGGCACAAUGGAUAAAUAGCUGGAAACUAAUUCAGAUUUAGAAAGGAGUACAACAAUUCACGGAGGAAUAAUAAAGAGGCUCACUCCAUACCGUAUGUCAUACAGGGAGAGGAAAAGGGCGGGCACUGCUCAAACUGAGCUCGGGGGAUCCCUACAAAGAAAAAGACAUUGUACUGUUCAGCGUUUCUACUGUUUUAAACUUCAAUGUACUAAAUAAAUAUUAGUUUUACCAUUUUUAAAUUCCCCCAUAUUUUUAUAACCUACUGUAAAAG